UACGUAGGGACCGAGCGUUGUCCGGAAUCAUUGGGCGUAAAGAGCGUGUAGGCGGCCCCUUAAGUCCUGCGUGAAAUCCUGCGGCUCAACCGCAGACGGUCGUGGGAAACUGGAGGGCUAGAGUGCGGGAGAGGAGAGUGGAAUUCCCGGUGUAGCGGUGAAAUGCGCAGAUAUCGGGAGGAACACCUGUGGCGAAAGCGGCUCACUGGACCACAACUGACGCUGAUGCGCGAAAGCUAGGGGAGCAAACAGG
Molecule: ribosomal RNA, 253 nt
Filed under: uncultured bacterium
Lineage: Bacteria
Description: partial 16S ribosomal RNA
Rfam family: Bacterial small subunit ribosomal RNA
Source: RNAcentral